RNAcentral lists this ribosomal RNA (901 nucleotides) under Capnodium coffeae. RNAcentral's name for it is "LSU rRNA". It matches the Rfam family "Eukaryotic large subunit ribosomal RNA", at positions 38 to 963 of the family's 3401-position model. Lineage: Eukaryota; Fungi; Ascomycota; Dothideomycetes; Capnodiales; Capnodiaceae. The record is from RNAcentral.
GCAUAUCAUAAGCGAGAAAAGAAACCAACAGGGAUUGCCCUAGUAACGGCGAGUGAAGCGGCAAUAGCUCAGAUUUGAAAUCUGGCGUCUUCGGCGUCCGAGUUGUAAUCUGUAGAGGGAUGCCUUUGGGUAGCCACCCGGUCUAAGUCCCCUGGAACGGGGCGUCACAGAGGGUGAGAAUCCCGUAUGUGACCGGAAGGGCACCCUCCACAAGGCUCCUUCGACGAGUCGAGUUGUUUGGGAAUGCAGCUCUAAAUGGGAGGUAAAUUCCUUCUAAAGCUAAAUACCGGCCAGAGACCGAUAGCGCACAAGUAGAGUGAUCGAAAGAUGAAAAGCACUUUGGAAAGAGAGUUAAAAAGCACGUGAAAUUGUUGAAAGGGAAGCGCUUGCAACCAGACUUGUUGGCGGUGUUCCGCCGGUCUUCUGACCGGUCCACUCACCGUCUGCAGGCCAGCAUCAUCUGGGGCCGCCGGAUAAAAGCGAGGGGAACGUGGCUCCCUCGGGAGUGUUAUAGCCCCUCGUGCAAUACGGCGAGCCUCGGGUGAGGUCCGCGCUUCGGCUAGGAUGCUGGCGUAAUGGUCGUAAGCGGCCCGUCUUGAAACACGGACCAAGGAGUCUAACAUCUAUGCGAGUGUUCGGGUGUCAAACCCCUACGCGUAAUGAAAGUGAACGGAGGUGGGAGCCUUAGGGUGCACCAUCGACCGAUCCUGAUGUCUUCGGAUGGAUUUGAGUAAGAGCAUAGCUGUUGGGACCCGAAAGAUGGUGAACUAUGCCUGGAUAGGGUGAAGCCAGAGGAAACUCUGGUGGAGGCUCGCAGCGGUUCUGACGUGCAAAUCGAUCGUCAAAUUUGGGUAUAGGGGCGAAAGACUAAUCGAACUCAUCUAGUAGCUGGGUCUGCGAG